GAUGAAGAACGCAGCGAAAUGCGAUAAGUAAUGUGUAUUGCAGAAUUCAGUGAAUCAUCGAAUCUUUGAACGCACAUUGCGCCCCUUGGUAUUCCGAGGGGCAUGCCUGUUCGAGCGUCAUUAUAACCCCUCAAGCUCAGCUUGGUGUUGGGGCCUGCUGCACUGGCAGCCCUUAAAAUCAGUGGCGGCGCCAUCUGGCUCUAAGCGUAGUAAUUCUUCUCGCUAUGGAGUCCUGGUGGAUGCUUGCCAUCAACCCCCAAUUUUUCUAUGGUUGACCUCGGAUCAGGUAGGGAUACCCGCUGAACUUAAGCAUAUCAAUAAGCGGAGGA
Molecule: unclassified non-coding RNA, 329 nt
Filed under: soil metagenome
Description: partial contains 5.8S ribosomal RNA, internal transcribed spacer 2, and large subunit ribosomal RNA
Rfam family: 5.8S ribosomal RNA (bases 1-120)
Source: RNAcentral